This 932-nucleotide ribosomal RNA is filed under the name Escherichia coli. RNAcentral's name for it is "partial 23S ribosomal RNA". It matches the Rfam family "Bacterial large subunit ribosomal RNA", at positions 296 to 1239 of the family's 2925-position model. The record is from RNAcentral. Lineage: Bacteria; Pseudomonadati; Pseudomonadota; Gammaproteobacteria; Enterobacterales; Enterobacteriaceae.
CCAGAGCCUGAAUCAGUGUGUGUGUUAGUGGAAGCGUCUGGAAAGGCGCGCGAUACAGGGUGACAGCCCCGUACACAAAAAUGCACAUGCUGUGAGCUCGAUGAGUAGGGCGGGACACGUGGUAUCCUGUCUGAAUAUGGGGGGACCAUCCUCCAAGGCUAAAUACUCCUGACUGACCGAUAGUGAACCAGUACCGUGAGGGAAAGGCGAAAAGAACCCCGGCGAGGGGAGUGAAAAAGAACCUGAAACCGUGUACGUACAAGCAGUGGGAGCACAGAGCAAUCUGUGUGACUGCGUACCUUUUGUAUAAUGGGUCAGCGACUUAUAUUCUGUAGCAAGGUUAACCGAAUAGGGGAGCCGAAGGGAAACCGAGUCUUAACCGGGCGUUAAGUUGCAGGGUAUAGACCCGAAACCCGGUGAUCUAGCCAUGGGCAGGUUGAAGGUUGGGUAACACUAACUGGAGGACCGAACCGACUAAUGUUGAAAAAUUAGCGGAUGACUUGUGGCUGGGGGUGAAAGGCCAAUCAAACCGGGAGAUAGCUGGUUCUCCCCGAAAGCUAUUUAGGUAGCGCCUCGUGAAUUCAUCUCCGGGGGUAGAGCACUGUUUCGGCAAGGGGGUCAUCCCGACUUACCAACCCGAUGCAAACUGCGAAUACCGGAGAAUGUUAUCACGGGAGACACACGGCGGGUGCUAACGUCCGUCGUGAAGAGGGAAACAACCCAGACCGCCAGCUAAGGUCCCAAAGUCAUGGUUAAGUGGGAAACGAUGUGGGAAGGCCCAGACAGCCAGGAUGUUGGCUUAGAAGCAGCCAUCAUUUAAAGAAAGCGUAAUAGCUCACUGGUCGAGUCGGCCUGCGCGGAAGAUGUAACGGGGCUAAACCAUGCACCGAAGCUGCGGCAGCGACACUGUGUGUUGUUGGGUAGGGGAGCGU